Molecule: ribosomal RNA, 236 nt
Filed under: uncultured bacterium
Lineage: Bacteria
Description: partial 16S ribosomal RNA
Rfam family: Bacterial small subunit ribosomal RNA
Source: RNAcentral
UUAGUGGGGGAUAACCUGGGGAAACCCAGGCUAAUACCGCAUAAUCCCUACGGGGGAAAGCAGGGGACCUUCGGGCCUUGUGCUGAUGGAUGAGCUCGCGUCGGAUUAGCUUGUUGGUGAGGUAAUGGCUCACCAAGGCGACGAUCCGUAGCUGGUCUUAGAGGAUGAUCAGCCACACCGGGACUGAGACACGGCCCGGACUCCUACGGGAGGCAGCAGUGGGGAAUCUUGGACAA